GAGGCGUAGCUCAGUGGUAGAGUCUGUGCUCGGCAUGUGUGAGGCCCUGGGUUCCAUCCCCAGCACCCA
Molecule: transfer RNA, 69 nt
Filed under: Marmota monax (woodchuck)
Lineage: Eukaryota; Metazoa; Chordata; Mammalia; Rodentia; Sciuridae
Description: tRNA.Ala
Source: RNAcentral